Molecule: small RNA, 939 nt
Filed under: Pongo abelii (Sumatran orangutan)
Lineage: Eukaryota; Metazoa; Chordata; Mammalia; Primates; Hominidae
Description: retained intron
Source: RNAcentral
UUUGUUUCUGUUACACUUCAGUUAUUAGAGGAAGUAACACAAGGGGAUAUGAGUGCAGCAGACACAUUUCUGUCCGAUCUGCCGAGGGAUGAUAUCUAUGUGUCAGAUGUUGAGGACGACGGUGAUGACACAUCUCUGGAUAGUGACCUGGAUCCAGAGGAGCUGGCAGGAGUCAGGGGACAUCAGGGUCUAAGGGACCAAAAGCGGUAAGGGGCAUGUGUGUGCGCCAAAGGGAAUGCUGCCACUCUGAGGCAGUGUUAGGGUGGGUACUACCAGAUCCCGAGUAGGGGAGCAAGGGCUCCAGGCAAUCUGGGUCUCUGAGCCCCCUACUUUCCUUUGGGUCUACAGUGUGCGACUUACUGAAGUGCAAGAUGAUAAAGAGGAGGAGGAGGAGGAGGAGAAUCCACUGCUGGUACCACUGGAGGAAAAGGCAGUACUGCAGGAGGAACAAGCCAACCUGUGGUUCUCAAAGGUAAGGAGAGGCUGGGGGCAAGACUGCAGGGAGAUGAGUCUUCCUUGGGAGAAGGGCAGCUGAUGUUCUCCCAUCACAGGGCAGCUUUGCUGGGAUCGAGGACGAUGCCGAUGAGGCCCUGGAGAUCAGUCAGGCCCAGCUGUUAUUUGAGAGCCAGCGGAAGGGACGGCAGCAGCAGCUGCCACAGACACUGCCUUCCUGUUUGAAGACUGAGAUAAUGUCUCCCCUGUACCAAGAUGAAGCCCCUAAGGGAACAGAGGCUUCUUCAGGGACAGAAGCUGCCACUGGCCUUAAAGGGGAAGAAAAGGAUGGCAUCUCAGACAGUGAUAGCAGUAGUAGCAGUGAGGAAGAAGAGAGCUGGGAACCCGUCCGUGGUAAGAAGCGAAGCCGUGGGCCUAAGUCAGAUGAUGACGGGUUUGAGAUAGUGCCUAUUGAGGACCCAGCAAAACAUCGGAUACUGGACCCCG